UUUGAGAUUAUUAGGGUUUUUUUUUGUUCUUCUCAUCAGAAAAUCAUCAUCGACGGCACAACUCGAUAAUCAUCGACAUCAUACUCUAAUUCUCGCAUACGGCAAAGUCGAUUAGAGCUUUUCUUUGUUCUUCUCACUGAAGAAUCCAACAUCAAGAUCUUCAGAUUAAUUCCUUUUUCUUCUUUAUUAUUCAAUCGAUCAAUCGAUUAAACUGAAAUCAGUCGCUAGGGUUCAAGAAUCUUCAUCUGGUUACCCAAGAAAUGUGGACCAUACCUUUGGGAAUCUCAGUCUCUCCCAAUUUCAACAAGUUGCCACUUUUCUCUCCUUCAUCUGAUUGUUGUUUUGAUGGGAUUUUUGUUUCCAUGGUGGCACUGUGGUUUUGCAGAUUGAAAACGUGAAAGCUUAAUUGAAUACAGCCGUGUUCCUCUGCAAUAAUCAUAUCUUCAGACGCCACCAUCGAAUCUUUUUUUGUUCAUCGAUUAUCGUCAAGGUAUGUUUUCAUGAUCUGAAUUAUUAUCCGCUAUAUGUAUGUCUUUGGCAGCCCUAUAAGAACUGCCGAAGCCCUUCUCAGGAUUAGAAAUGUAAAUGAACUAUUAAAGUGUGGAUUAAGUGUGUUUUGUGUUGUUUUGUUGAAGAAAUUGUGGAUCUGUGAGAUUCAUUUUUCAAAUAUCGAUGAUCUGUUGAUGCUUUUGGUUACUUGAACGACUUUUGAAGAGGUUUAUUGUAAAUGUGAGCUUAUGUGACCGACAAUACGACAUGUAUUCUUAUCUGCAAAAGUAGUGGCAGAGGAGACUUUCUGACAAACAAAUGUCGUCUGCCCAAAGAGGCAUAGGGCUAUACGGAAGCUACAAAGCAAAUUGAAGGCGACAGAGGACAAUUCAAAUAUCGUCUCCUUCAGGAACAUGCCAGAUAAGUACCGUUAGUUACUAUGGUUGGGAAUGACACAAGUCUUACAUAUUCUUACUUUUUGAUACUAAUGGCUUUGCUAUAAGCUUCUGUUGCUUGCAGAAAGAUAUUAGUAAUCAAUGGGUGUUUGUGGGUUAUCUUGAAGAUGCAAUCAUCAUAGAAGUUUAAUCCAACUUCAUCUAUCUUUCAUUACGUGUUUUAAAAUUUUUAGAGAAUCCCGACGAUAUCAAAGCUGCUCGGUAAAUUAUCGAAGAGAAUCAGAGUUGUUGAAGAUAAGAUUAUGAGAAAAUCUCGAAGUGUCUCUUUUUGACCCGUGUUACAGAGAAUUUCAUGUGUUAAUGCCUGGGAAAAAGUAGUAUAGAUGUUCAAAAGACACCCAGAGGGUUAAUUUUCAGGCAAAGAUGGAACAAUUAACAGCUUUUCACAACUUCAUCUUUCCUACUUACUGUCUAUUCCGACUACUUGACUUCGGCACAGUCACCCCACCUGAGCUGCUAGCGUUUGGCAAAUCUCAGGUACCCAGAAGUUAUAAUAUACAUUAUGACUUCAUAAAAGUCAGCUGCAGCUACUAUAGUUUUUAUGAAACUUUUUAAAUGAUUAUUGCGACCAAGGUAAGAAACACCCUUGCAGACAAAUGGUAAAAAACAAUAGGGUAGUAAUCAAAAUCUAAACUUUUGGAUUGGUUUUGGUUUUGUAGGUGGAUUAUAUACUUGGAUACGGCCCAAGAGCAAUAAGUUACAUGGAUGGAUACCGAAGCACUACCCACAAAAAGUACACAUUGUAAGAAUAAUGAGUGUGUUAAAGUGGGCUGUUAUGAAAGAGUAUCGGAUGGGCGCUAUUUGGGUUUUAAAUAAUCUAGGACACUAAUCAUUUGAAAACAUAAUAGAGUGACCCGUUUUAGUUCGAGCAACUUUUUGUUAUUUGACAUGUUUGUCAUCCUUAUUUGUAUGAACAAGAUUUUGUAUAAAUAUCUCUAUAUGAUUGUGCAAUUUUGACCAGAUUUAGGAUUGUUUCAGACUUUUUGGGAACCCAGUUUGCAGUAAUACCCUUAAGCAGACUCAGUAUUCCGACUCAGACAAUCUAUCUGACUAUCUCGGGAUAUUCUACAAGCUUCCCAGAUUUUGGGACCAAACCGUGUCGGUCUGAUCGAAAACCGAGUUCUCUAAGAUGUGACUGUGUUUAUCCAUAUGAAGGCAAUCUGUUCUUUCGAGCACCAUCUUUUCAGGUUUUAACUAAAGAUACAUUGUGGCAUUCACUAGAAUCCGACCUUUGGACAAAACGGUGCCUCACUCCGGGCUUACUCUCCAAAACACGUUCUUUGACAUCACAAUUAUCUUCAAAUGCAUGUGCAGUUCUUUCCAUCAAAAAGCAAGCAUUUUACAAUACUGGAGGUCCGGAAAAUGAGGUUUUGCUAACUUGGAAAGGAACCUGGUGAGUUGGCUGAAGCAAGAAACAAAUAGUAUUUGACUAUUAUUUUCUAUUUUGUUUUUAUUAUAUUAGGAUUGCUUGAUUGUGGUAACUUGAAAUUUAAGUCUGAUUGUGUUGCCUGCCCUUGAAUAUAGCAUUCUAACCUAUAUGUAUGCUCGUGUGCAUGUGCGCUUGCAAACCUGUUCAAUGGUAAUAUUUUUGUCUAUUUACCUUUUGAGGUUUACAUAUUGUUUAAUGUAUUGAACAUAUUCUAAACCUAGGUUAGAGUGAAACAUCUAAAAAUUUUGGAAGUCCAGGUUGGAGCUUUAUUCAAAGUUAAUAAUGCGCGAAGGAAAAACAUAAUAUAUAUAAAGAAUCGUUCAUGUAAAUUAGACACGAACCUAACUCGAAAUUCGUGAAUUUUGGUUUAGUUUAAAUGGAUUCGGGUAAGUUUCAGGUUGAACCGACGAACAUGUUUAGCUAAACAGGCCGGGUUUGUGACAACCCGUUCGGGUUGGAGGGCUUACCCGUUAUUUAUAUUAUGUUAUAUUUUUUAAAAUAUGAUUUACGUCAUAAAUUAAAUUGAGUAUGUAUUUUAUCUAUUAAUAUUGUUUAUUUUCCGUUUUUUAAGCCAUUUAGGGAAGGUAUAUAGUUAUUGUUUAUUGGUCAUAAUGUUUUAGGUGGUAACGUAAAUGUUGUCUCAAUCUCGAUAUGCUGAAUGAAUUUCAAUAUUUGAACAUACAAGAGUGUUAGCAAAGUAAGUUAUGAAUGGUUUGUCAAUGAAGAAAAGGUUCACAUAACCAUUGGAAUACUCGAAGUACUACGUGUCAAAUAAUUACCUUUUUUCCUGAGUACACCCUUUAACCGUAUCAUAUAUGUAAAUUUUCCAAUUGAUAGAAUUCUUAAUUGUAAGGGUAAAUUUGACAUUUUUUUUGAACGGCAAAUUUGGAUCACUGACGGACCACUGUAGUAUCAUUGUGCCACCAGCAGAACCACCCGAUC
Molecule: long non-coding RNA, 3315 nt
Organism: Helianthus annuus (common sunflower)
Lineage: Eukaryota; Viridiplantae; Streptophyta; Magnoliopsida; Asterales; Asteraceae
Exons: 8
Source: RefSeq, a predicted model, not a curated record